AGAGUUUGAUCCUGGCUCAGAUUGAACGCUGGCGGCAUGCUUUACACAUGCAAGUCGAGCGGCAGCGCGGGAGCAAUCCUGGCGGCGAGCGGCGAACGGGUGAGGAAUACAUCGGAACGUGUCCCGUAGAGGGGGAUAACCCGGCGAAAGCCGGGCUAAUACCGCAUAUGCUCUAUGGAGGAAAGCAGGGGCUCGCAAGACCUUGCGCUAUGGGAGCGGCCGAUGUCCGAUUAGCUAGUUGGUGAGGUAAAGGCUUACCAAGGCGACGAUCGGUAGCUGGUCUGAGAGGAUGAUCAGCCACACUGGGACUGAGACACGGCCCAGACUCCUACGGGAGGCAGCAGUGGGGAAUUUUGGACAAUGGGGGCAACCCUGAUCCAGCCAUGCCGCGUGAGUGAAGAAGGCCUUCGGGUUGUAAAGCUCUUUUGGUCGGAAAGAAAGGUCCUU
RNAcentral lists this ribosomal RNA (447 nucleotides) under uncultured beta proteobacterium. RNAcentral's name for it is "bacterial SSU rRNA". It matches the Rfam family "Bacterial small subunit ribosomal RNA", at positions 8 to 457 of the family's 1533-position model. The record is from RNAcentral. Lineage: Bacteria; Pseudomonadati; Pseudomonadota; Betaproteobacteria.